This 253-nucleotide ribosomal RNA is filed under the name uncultured bacterium. Its description in RNAcentral is "partial 16S ribosomal RNA". It matches the Rfam family "Bacterial small subunit ribosomal RNA", at positions 524 to 776 of the family's 1533-position model. The record is from RNAcentral.
UACGGAGGGGGCGAGCGUUAAUCGGAAUUACUGGGCGUAAAGCGUGCGCAGGCGGUUUGAUAAGCCAGGGGUGAAAUCCCCGGGCUCAACCUGGGAACUGCGUUCGAAACUGUCAGACUAGAGUCCGUCAGAGGGGGGUGGAAUUCCGCGUGUAGCGGUGAAAUUCGUAGAGAUGCGGAGGAACACCGAUGGCGAAGGCAGCUCCCUGGGAUGACACUGACGCUGAUGCGCGAAAGCGUGGGGAGCAAACAGG